Molecule: long non-coding RNA, 439 nt
Filed under: Homo sapiens (human)
Lineage: Eukaryota; Metazoa; Chordata; Mammalia; Primates; Hominidae
Description: long non-coding RNA NONHSAT203857.1
Source: RNAcentral
AUCAGUCACAGGUUUUGGAGGACAGCUAAUUCUAGAAAAAGGAAACAGCACAUGUAAAAGUACCUGGCAAAGAAAGGAAACAGAAACCCCAUAGAGAAUCAUGCACAAGUGAAAAGAGGAGAGGCCAAGGGAACAAUCAAAGGUUUCCACCCCUGCAAAUCGCAGCCGCUUGGUCAGCUUUUGCACCCAGAUCCACUGGAAUGUGCGGAGCAGAGCUUGUCAGUUAUAGGCCUGAGCCUCACUGCUUCUAAAGAAUUCCCAGAGGGAUCCCAAGGAUGAAUGGCUAUCUCCCUGCUUUUAUAGGAAUAGAAUGGACUUCUUGUGAAAUGACUCUCCAACGUGUUUGGAGAGUCAUUUCUUGUGAAAUGAAUAGAUGGACUUCUUGUGAAGAAAGUUUUCUCCGGACAUGUUUUCUCCUGCUUCCUGUUCAAAACCAUUG